This 22-nucleotide microRNA is filed under the name Strongyloides ratti. RNAcentral describes it as "str-miR-58-3p". Its record names the gene str-miR-58-3p. Lineage: Eukaryota; Metazoa; Nematoda; Chromadorea; Rhabditida; Strongyloididae. The record is from miRBase by way of RNAcentral.
UGAGAUCAUAUUAGUGUCAUUU